This 492-nucleotide ribosomal RNA is filed under the name uncultured bacterium. RNAcentral's name for it is "partial 16S ribosomal RNA". It matches the Rfam family "Bacterial small subunit ribosomal RNA", at positions 29 to 507 of the family's 1533-position model. The record is from RNAcentral.
AGUGAACGCUGGCGGUAGGCCUAACACAUGCAAGUCGAACGGCAGCACAGUAAGAGCUUGCUCUUACGGGUGGCGAGUGGCGGACGGGUGAGGAAUACAUCGGAAUCUACUUUUUCGUGGGGGAUAACGUAGGGAAACUUACGCUAAUACCGCAUACGACCUACGGGUGAAAGCAGGGGAUCUUCGGACCUUGCGCGAUUGAAUGAGCCGAUGUCGGAUUAGCUAGUUGGCGGGGUAAAGGCCCACCAAGGCGACGAUCCGUAGCUGGUCUGAGAGGAUGAUCAGCCACACUGGAACUGGGACACGGUCCAGACUCCUACGGGAGGCAGCAGUGGGGAAUAUUGGACAAUGGGCGCAAGCCUGAUCCAGCCAUACCGCGUGGGUGAAGAAGGCCUUCGGGUUGUAAAGCCCUUUUGUUGGGAAAGAAAAGCAGCAGGUUAAUACCCCGCUGUUCUGACGGUACCCAAAGAAUAAGCGCCGGCUAACUUCGUG